Passer domesticus (house sparrow) is the source of this 1216-nucleotide long non-coding RNA. RefSeq lists it as uncharacterized. The record is from RefSeq and is a predicted model, not a curated record. Lineage: Eukaryota; Metazoa; Chordata; Aves; Passeriformes; Passeridae. The transcript is spliced from 3 exons.
UCUGACCUCACAGAAUCACUCUCUGAAUAAUAUGGCUGCAGAAGAGAAUCCAGGGGUCAAGAAAUCUGGAAAAGAACCAUCUGUUCACAGUCUUCCUUCAGCUACAGGCCAAAACCUGUUUUUAUCCACCUUUUAUAAGGCCAUCACUUGUGUGACCCUACAGCAGAGCUGCCCUGGGGUCUCCCCAGUGCUGCUCCAGUGAAGGAACACUCAGUAAAAGCAACCCUGCACCCCUGUGCACGAGCACACCUCACAAAGGCAGGGAACUGCAUUGGGGUCCAAGCUCCACCACAGCUUUGGUCACUAUGGUUUGCUGAGCAGCUGCGGCUUCUGUUUUCCUUCAGACUCCCCUUUUCUCCUGGUCUAUUGAGACUGCAAGCUCUGUAGGACAAGAAAAAUGUUUCCCUGAGUGUUUACUCAGCAGCCAGGCUCCAUCAAGGCAAGGCCUGGAGUCCCCAGGAACACAGAGAACUGUUAUCUCACCAAGCUGUCCUCAACCUGCUGGGGACAGUGAUUUACUGUCUGCAAGGGAGGUUCUGCUAGAGUGCACAGCUCUGAACUGACUUCACACAGAGCCAUUACCUCAUGUGCCGGGCCCUGACUAGAUCAGGAGUGCAGACAGCAAACUAUAAACUUCUAACAGCAAUACAUAAAGAGAAUGGGCCCUCCCAGGAAACCAGUGAGACCAGUAUGGAAUGAGAGAGAGCUGCCUGCACACAGCCCUUCCCAGCCACACUCCCACCCUCACUCCCAGCAGCAGCGAUCCUGCUCCUUCCAUCCCUGGUGGAAAUGAACCCUGCUGGGUUACACAAACACACGGAGCUCAGAAGAUGUCACAAGUCUGACCUCUGCCUUCCUUUGCUGGAUUUCUCAGCGUUUGACGCUGGCUGUCGAACAGAAUAAAUGAGGGGAUCCACAGAGAGCAACAUCAAUGAGCCCAAAGGAAUUCUGGCCAGACACAGAAGACAACAAAAGCCUGUGGAAAUGAUCUAAGGAUGUCACUUGGCAACCUUAAGAUUAUUGUCUUGUUUUGUAUGUAUUGGGUUUGAAAAGCUGAUAAUUGUUCUCGUGUGCCAGUGGAGAUUAGAAGACCAUUUGUGUUGGUAUCAAAGGAGACAAAAUCUUUUUCCACCCUCUCCAAGAAGCAGCAACACCAUCUUUCUACUAGGCAAUGUCUCUUCUUGUGAGACUCCAGUAAAACAAUGGUGUUUUAUCA